GUUGAAACUAGGAACUAAAUACUGAAGAUGAUAACGCAGCUGUGGCUCACAGUGGGGAGGAUGUAGGAAAUACUAGCCCCAGUAAGCCUCCAGGAUCCUCCAGAAAGAAGAACAAAAGAGGGUAUAGUUAUGCAACCACCUUUCAGCUGCUGCGAUUAGAGGCAGGAACAGAGGUUGUAAACAAGGAGCAUGUACUGAAGAAAGGAGCCUACUUGUCAGUUCUUUACCUACGUCAUUUGAGAAUCCAAGAGCUAAAGCGAGUCUGCCUGGGGAUCCUGAACUACUUCAGAUCCGUGGAGAGAACCCUGACCAUCAGUACUGCGGGCCUAUCCUUCAAAGCUGGUAAUUUAAUUCCCAGCGCAGAAGAUACCUGCUGGGUCAGUGCUGCCAAAGGAGGCACUGGUGUUUCUGGUGGCCUGAGUUCUCAGCCUUAUGUUCAUUACACACCAGCUGACUACAAGGUGAGGUACCCCAUAGCCUCAAGUCUUCCAAAAUGCGUGCUUCAGCAGAAGUGUGUGUCACGUUCCUCCCUGCAGCUGCCAGCCUGGUCACCUCUUCCACGCAGACUCUAUUCUGAUGAACUGCUGAAUCAUCUCAGGCAUUUAGUUCCUCAAGACCACAUGUCUCGCCUUCGUGGACUUGAUACCUUUCUCCACCAGAGGUCUGUAACAAACCUCUGAGAAACCUAAUGCCUGCCAGAUAAACAUGAAUUCAAACUUGUGCUUAUACUCGCACUUCUACAUGUUUUGGAUUAUCACCCAGUGUAUGUUUCUAGCCCUAGGAAAUUGGAGGCAUUUUACAAUGUAUGGAAAUGCUUGCUUAAGUAACUGUUAAUGAUUUCUAAAAUGUAUUAUUUAGUUUUAGGUACAGUUUAGGGUUAAUUGUUUUUUAAUCUUGGAUGCCAAUGUGUGGCUGAAGUGAUAUAAAUAGUCUGCUUAGCUUUACAGGUUGGAAAAAUAAUUCCAACUAAAUACCUAAGCCUUAUCAAACUUUGGUUUCCCCCACUUUUUUUGUAAAAUAUACUAAACUGAAUCAAUAUAUUAUGCUGGUUUUAGUGAUUUGAUGUGGUAUAAAGUCUGUUCUUCUGAGCAGCCAAAUCUCCUUGCAGCUCUGCUACAUACCAGUCAUACUAAAGUCUUUGUAUAAAAAUCCUGAAGAAGCACUAUAGCAUAUUAUUCAGUAUUUUUUUCAACAUUUUGAGUUCACAUUUAUUUUUCAUUUACUGAAAACUUGUCUUUUUUGCUGUAGAAACACCAAAACCAAGCACACAAACUACUCCACGAGAGGAUUAUGGCUAGAACUGAAAAGGAAGUAGGCUUCCUGCUCCCAUUUUUGCUUACAUUAAGACUUCAAACCCUCCCCCCCAAACUUCCUGUCCCUAAACAUGAGAAAAGUCUAAGACUCCUUAAAAAUAAAACUUGUGGAGGAUGUGGGGUACA
RNAcentral lists this long non-coding RNA (1439 nucleotides) under Apteryx owenii (little spotted kiwi). RNAcentral describes it as "lncRNA (ENSAOWG00000018443.1)". The record is from RNAcentral. Lineage: Eukaryota; Metazoa; Chordata; Aves; Apterygiformes; Apterygidae.